This 522-nucleotide ribosomal RNA is filed under the name uncultured bacterium. RNAcentral's name for it is "bacterial SSU rRNA". It matches the Rfam family "Bacterial small subunit ribosomal RNA", at positions 774 to 1296 of the family's 1533-position model. The record is from RNAcentral.
AGUAAAUAGAUACCCAGGUAGUCCACGCCGUAAACGAUGAGUACUAGGUGUAGGAGGUAUCGACUCCUUCUGUGCCGCAGUUAAACACAAUAAGUACUCCGCCUGGGAAGUACGGUCGCAAGAUUAAAACUCAAAGGAAUUGACGGGGGCCCGCACAAGCAGCGGAGCAUGUGGUUUAAUUCGAAGCAACGCGAAGAACCUUACCUAGACUUGACAUCUCCUGAAUAGUGUAGAGAUACAUGAAGCCCUUCGGGGCAGGAAGACAGGUGGUGCAUGGUUGUCGUCAGCUCGUGUCGUGAGAUGUUGGGUUAAGUCCCGCAACGAGCGCAACCCUUAUUACUAGUUGCUACCAUUAAGUUGAGCACUCUAGUGAGACUGCCCGGGUUAACCGGGAGGAAGGCGGGGAUGACGUCAAAUCAUCAUGCCCCUUAUGUCUAGGGCAACACACGUGCUACAAUGGUGAGUACAGACAGAUGCGAUACCGCAAGGUGGAGCCAAACUCUAAAACUCAUCCCAGUUCGG